Molecule: transfer RNA, 74 nt
Filed under: Dehalococcoidia bacterium
Lineage: Bacteria; Bacillati; Chloroflexota; Dehalococcoidia
Description: tRNA-Trp
Rfam family: tRNA
About the family: Transfer RNA (tRNA) molecules are approximately 80 nucleotides in length. Their secondary structure includes four short double-helical elements and three loops (D, anti-codon, and T loops).
Source: RNAcentral
AGGAGUGUAGCUCAGUUUGGAAGAGCAGCGGUCUCCAAAACCGCAGGUCGGGGGUUCGAAUCCCUCCACUCCUG